GGAAUUUUAAAAUAACGCUUUAUUGGCUGUGUUUCACUUGUGUAUUAUGCAUGCUUAUUUUAUUUUACUGCAUAUGGUGUGUACUGUAAUAUUAAUUGUAGUGCCCCUACUAGAUGUUCCUUAUGUAUAUUAGUUCCUUGUAUAUUAGUUGUAUUUGUUUGAGAAUGUACAUUGACCAUCUGAUUUUAUUUUCUUACAGUUGCUGAUGGACACAUUGUAUUAAUUGACCCUCCUGUAACAGCACGUCCUGCCACAGUUGUAACUGAUUAUUGUCUUCAGCCGCCUGCAAAGGAGCUGUAUGUAUAAGGACCAUCUUCAAAUGCAAAUGAGACAAAGUGACAUGGAGAUGGACCUUCUACAACUUCAAAUGGAGGAAAAAAAGGUGAACAUAAAAAAGGCCAGGCUUGAAACUGAAUUGCUGAAACACUGACUAACGGAAAUAAAGAAACAACCACACUCAACUGUUUAUUUUGUGCAUUAGUCUUUCAAUUAGAAGUGAUUUUGGCAGCUCACGUCUCGCACCAUCCUGCUAUCUCUUUAGUCCACUGGGUUAACCGGGGGUUCCUCUUGAUCAUCUUCAUAAAGAGCAGGGGGCCUCAAAAUAUUCUGGAAUUGUGUACAGACCCUCACACCUUUUAGAUUUUUCGAUAUUUAAUCAAAUAAACUAUCAAAUCAUGUGUAAAUAUUGGCAUGUAUUUCACUACCAAAUGGGCUCAUACACAAAAUAUACCAUAAUUUAAAGCUCAAUAGCAUUUGAAGGGAA
Ictalurus punctatus (channel catfish) is the source of this 763-nucleotide long non-coding RNA. NCBI's taxonomy places the organism in Eukaryota, Metazoa, Chordata, Actinopteri, Siluriformes, Ictaluridae. The record is from Ensembl.